AGAACGAACGCUGGCGGCAUGCCUAAUACAUGCAAGUCGAACGAACUCUUCGGAGUUAGUGGCGCACGGGUGCGUAACGCGUGGGAAUCUGCCCCUUGGUUCGGAAUAACAGUUGGAAACGACUGCUAAUACCGGAUGAUGACGAAAGUCCAAAGAUUUAUCGCCAAGGGAUGAGCCCGCGUAGGAUUAGCUAGUUGGUGAGGUAAAGGCUCACCAAGGCAACGAUCCUUAGCUGGUCUGAGAGGAUGAUCAGCCACACUGGGACUGAGACACGGCCCAGACUCCACGGGAGCAGCAGUAGGGAAUAUUGGACAAGUGGGACAAAGCCUAGAUCCAGCAAUGCCGCGUGAGUGA
This 354-nucleotide ribosomal RNA is filed under the name uncultured soil bacterium. RNAcentral's name for it is "bacterial SSU rRNA". It matches the Rfam family "Bacterial small subunit ribosomal RNA", at positions 26 to 408 of the family's 1533-position model. The record is from RNAcentral.